Molecule: ribosomal RNA, 774 nt
Filed under: uncultured archaeon S15-1
Lineage: Archaea
Description: bacterial SSU rRNA
Rfam family: Archaeal small subunit ribosomal RNA
Source: RNAcentral
UGGAUAACCCCGGGAAACUGGGGCUAAUUCUCGAUAGGUGAAGAACUCUGGAAUGAGUCUUUGCCCAAAAGUUGUCAGGGUUAUGCUCUCUGAUAACGCCCAAGGAUGAGGCCGCGACCGAUCAGGUUGUUGGUGAGGUAAUGGCUCACCAAGCCUUUUACCGGUGCGGGCCGUGAGAGCGGGAGCCCGGAGAUGGGCACUGAGACAAGGGCCCAGGCCCUACGGGGCGCAGCAGUCGCGAAAACUUUGCAAUACACGAAAGUGUGACAGGGCUAUCCCGAGUGCCAUCCGCUGAGGAAGGCUUUUACCCAGUCUAGAACGCUGGGGGAAUAAGGAGAGGGCAAGUCUGGUGUCAGCCGCCGCGGUAAUACCAGCUCUCCGAGUGGUGUGGAUGUUUAUUGGGCCUAAAGCAUCCGUAGCUGGCUAAGUUAGUCCCUUGUUAAAUCCACCGAAUUAAUCGUUGGAUUGCGGGGGAUACUGCUUGGCUAGGGGACGAGAGAAGCAGACGGUAUUUCCGGGGUAGGGGUGAAAUCCUAUAAUCCCGGGAAAACCACCAGUGGCGAAGGCUGUCUGCUAGAACNCGCCCGACGGUGAGGGAUGAAAGCUGGGGGAGCAAACCGGAUUAGAUACCCGGGUAGUCCCAGCUGUAAACGAUGCAGGCUANGUGUUUGGACGGCCACCUGCCGUUCUAGUGCCGCAGGGGAAGCUGUUAAGCCUGCCGCCUGGGGAGUACUAUCGCAAGAUUGAAACUUAAAGGAAUUGCGGGGGGAGCAC